RNAcentral lists this unclassified non-coding RNA (272 nucleotides) under Hevea brasiliensis (rubber tree). Lineage: Eukaryota; Viridiplantae; Streptophyta; Magnoliopsida; Malpighiales; Euphorbiaceae. The record is from RNAcentral.
GAAGCAGAAGCAGAAGCCAAAGCCAAGCACCCUUCACUCCAUGACCUUCGAAUAGGAUACGAAACAUUUGUGCACUUAGACAUCCCAUGAGGGCAAGACUCCUUGGAUUUAUUAUGAAGAGCACAUCGGCAGUUACGAUGGUAAGGGCGGCGUCCUAUCCCAGAGUCACAGCCGGAGAGACAACCAUCGUAGACGAACCGGAAAAAGCCUUCGGCAGCUCCAGUGGCCAUCUGCCUCACCAGAAGAUGAAGAAGAAGAGGAAAUGGCGUGUG